Antechinus flavipes (yellow-footed antechinus) is the source of this 1091-nucleotide long non-coding RNA. RefSeq lists it as uncharacterized. The record is from RefSeq and is a predicted model, not a curated record. Lineage: Eukaryota; Metazoa; Chordata; Mammalia; Dasyuromorphia; Dasyuridae. The transcript has 2 exons.
AAUUGGCCUCAGGCACGUUAGCUGGGGGAAAUCCUACUGCACAGCAUCCUCCCCACACUUUGAAUGUUGUCAUAUAGUAGUGAUUUGUUUAAAAUGAACAUCAAGGACAAUGAGAGGGAGACAAGGGAAUAAGAUGUCAUAAAAGGGCAGCACACCACCUGAGGGAUGAAUAUGGAAAGUUGAAGGGAAAUGAUUGUUGUUGCCAGGCAGCCACAUGCAGUUCUGCCUUGUUGCCUUGGUAACAAUGGUGUGGAAGUAGUUACAGAGGGAUCUAGUUCUUCUUUCUAACAUUGAUUAGAGAUACCAGCCCUUUCUACCUGCUGUCUCCUCAAUGUCUCAGAACAGCUCCAGCGAGCUUAUUUGUGCAGUGGAUUGAAGUCUGGACUGACAACUUCAAAUUGCCGUACAAUGGAGGAAUCUGUAUCAUCUGUUGCAGAAGAUUUUAUCCAGAACCCUAAAUCAAAGAACUUAAGUGACCCAUGGUCGUAUGGGCCCUUGCUGGUAAUGUUCUUGUUCUACCUCACAAUUGUGGUUUUCUUACUCUUUGCAAUUUUUUUCAACCUCUGCCUGCGAUGUCUGACUCCCAAAUCUCAAAAAAAUGAAGCAAAUUAACUUUUAUGAAAAGAGAAGAAAUUUGUCUGCCAAUCCCUGCCAGAAAGCCAUCACCUCUACCCAAAGUCAAGUCCUCUGGUCAAUGACCUCCACCGAGGAUACUGUGAGAUUCUAAAAUAAUAGAAGUUGAAGAGAUCGUUUUUGGAGGGUUGGACAAGAUGAUUCUCUGAGAAUGGAGAAUGUUCUGUGGUAUCUGGCCUGUAGUCUUAUGUCUUCCUGCUCCAGGAUAAGUCCUUCAAUGUCUUCACUAAAGAUGUGGGGAGAGAUGAGGGAAGAGGAGAAUAUAAUGCAGGAAAAAUCACAUCUAGCAAGCUCCUCCACCCUGGCCUUCCACCUAGCCACAUUUCUCCUGUUUUAGACUACUUCUAUUGAAGACUCUAAAAGGCUGAGUACAGCAGUUAAAGAUCAAGACAACACAUCUUGGCAGGGAUGGUUAGGGGCAAAAAACAAAUAAAACCAAUUCCUUUAAAUUCUUCAAA